Molecule: ribosomal RNA, 481 nt
Filed under: uncultured bacterium
Lineage: Bacteria
Description: partial 16S ribosomal RNA
Rfam family: Bacterial small subunit ribosomal RNA
Source: RNAcentral
GAUGAACGCUGGCGGCGUGCUUAACACAUGCAAGUCGAACGAAGCACUUUAUUUGAUUUCCUUCGGGACUGAUUAUUUUGUGACUGAGUGGCGGACGGGUGAGUAACGCGUGGGUAACCUGCCUUUUACAGGGGGAUAACAGUUGGAAACGGCUGCUAAUACCGCAUAAGCGCACGGCAUCGCAUGAUGCAGUGUGAAAAACUCCGGUGGUAUAAGAUGGACCCGCGUUGGAUUAGCUAGUUGGUGAGGUAACGGCCCACCAAGGCGACGAUCCAUAGCCGACCUGAGAGGGUGACCGGCCACAUUGGGACUGAGACACAGCCCAAAAUCCUACGGGAGGCAGCAGUGGGGAAUAUUGCACAAUGGGCGAAAGCCUGAUGCAGCGACGCCGCGUGAGCGAAGAAGUAUUUCGGUAUGUAAAGCUCUAUCAGCAGGGAAGAUAAUGACGGUACCUGACUAAGAAGCACCGGCUAAAUACGUG